RNAcentral lists this ribosomal RNA (459 nucleotides) under uncultured bacterium. RNAcentral's name for it is "partial 16S ribosomal RNA". It matches the Rfam family "Bacterial small subunit ribosomal RNA", at positions 338 to 795 of the family's 1533-position model. The record is from RNAcentral.
CCUACGGGCGGCAGCAGUGAGGAAUAUUGGUCAAUGGUCGGGAGACUGAACCAGCAAAGCCGCGUGAGGGAUGAAGGUACAGAGUAUCGUAAACCUCUUUUGUCAGGGAACAAAGGCGGGGACGUGUCCCCGGAUGAGUGUACCUGAAGAAAAAGCAUCGGCUAACUCCGUGCCAGCAGCCGCGGUAAUACGGAGGAUGCGAGCGUUAUCCGGAUUUAUUGGGUUUACAGGGUGCGCAGGCGGUCUGUUAAGUCAGCGGUCAAAGCCCGGGGCUCAACCCCGGCCCGCCGUUGAAACUGGCAGUCGCGAGUUGGAGAGAAGUAUGCGGAAUGCGCGGUGUAGCGGUGAAAUGCAUAGAUAUCGCGCAGAACUCCGAUUGCGAAGGCAGCAUGCCGGCUCCACACUGACGCUGAGGCACGAAAGCGUGGGUAUCGAACAGGAUUAGAUACCCUUGUAGUC